CAGUGCCACUAAACACAUUGACUUCUCCUCCCUUCUGUCCCUUCCUUGCCUUUUGUAUUUUUCUCUUGCUUGUUGGUUUUGUCUGUGAAGCCGCCGGAUGACCAGAGCACGGAUUUCACCUCGUCCUUGAGAUAAGACAGGAGAUAUAAGAAUAGAGAGAGCGCGACACACACACAUUACCCCUACACACAGCGACCGAUCCGACAUCGAAACACGGGGAAGACGCAAUCACCGAGACCCGCUUCUGUAUAUUAUGCACCUGUGGCGACUGACUCUGCAUGUCUGUUUAUGUACAUUUGUUUUGCGUCACUUGUCGAACUCACUCUUCUCUGUCUCCUCCUUGUCCCUCUCCCCUCCAACUUGCAC
Oncorhynchus tshawytscha (Chinook salmon) is the source of this 366-nucleotide long non-coding RNA. NCBI's taxonomy places the organism in Eukaryota, Metazoa, Chordata, Actinopteri, Salmoniformes, Salmonidae. The record is from Ensembl.